AAAGCCCCGCAAGGGGUAAGUAGAGUGGCAAACGGGUGAGUAACACGUGGGUGACCUGCCUUCGAGUGGGGGAUAACGUCUCGAAAGGGACGCUAAUACCGCAUGACAUCCUGCCUUUGAACAGGCGGUGAUCAAAGCUGGGGAUCGCAAGACCUAGCGCUCAAAGAGGGGCCCGCGCCUGAUUAGCUAGUUGGUGGGGUAACGGCUCACCAAGGCAACGAUCAGUAUCCGGCCUGAGAGGGCGGACGGACACACUGGGACUGAGACACGGCCCAGACUCCUACGGGAGGCAGCAGUGGGGAAUUGUUCGCAAUGGGCGCAAGCCUGACGACGCAACGCCGCGUGGAGGAUGAAGAUCUUCGGGUCGUAAACUCCUUUCGAUCGAGACGAAUAACUCCCGGGUGAACAAUCCGGAGGAAUGACGGUACCGAGAGAAGAAGCCCCGGCUAACUCCGUGCCAGCAGCCGCGGUAAUACGGGGGGGGCAAGCGUUGUUCGGAAUUACUGGGCGUAAAGGGCUUGUAGGUGGCCAACUAAGUCAGACGUGAAAUCCCUCGGCUUAACCGGGGAACUGCGUCUGAUACUGGAUGGCUCGAGUGUGGGAGAGGGAUGCGGAAUUCCAGGUGUAGCGGUGAAAUGCGUAGAUAUCUGGAGGAACACCGGUGGCGAAGGCGGCAUCCUGGACCAUAACUGACACUGAAAAGCGAAAGCCAGGGGAGCAAACGGGAUUAGAUACCCCGGUAGUCCUGGCCCUAAACGAUGAAUGCUUGGUGUGGCGGGUAUCGAUCCCUGCCGUG
This 796-nucleotide ribosomal RNA is filed under the name uncultured Bacillota bacterium. Its description in RNAcentral is "bacterial SSU rRNA". It matches the Rfam family "Bacterial small subunit ribosomal RNA", at positions 71 to 845 of the family's 1533-position model. The record is from RNAcentral. Lineage: Bacteria; Bacillati; Bacillota.